CCUACGUGAGGCAGCAGUGAGGAAUAUUGGUCAAUGGACGAGAGUCUGAACCAGCAAAGUAGCGUGAAGGAUGACUGCCCUAUGGGUUGUAAACUUCUUUUAUAUGGGAAUAAAAUGUUCCACGUGUGGGAUUUUGUAUGUACCAUAUGAAUAAGGAUCGGCUAACUCCGUUCCAGCAGCCGCGGUAAUACGGAGGAUCCGAGCGUUCUCCGGAUUUAUUGGGUUUAAAGGGAGCGUAGGUGGAUUGUUAAGUCAGUUGUGAAAGUUUGCGGCUCAACCGUAAAAGUGCAGUUGAAACUGGCAGUCUUGAGUACAGUAGAGGUGAGCGGAAUGCGUGGUGUAGCGGUGAAAUGCUUAGAUAUCACGAAGAACUCCGAUUGCGAAGGCAGCUCACUGGACUGCAACUGACACUGAGGCUCGAAAGUGUGGGUAUCAAACAGGAUUAGAUACCCUUGUAGUC
RNAcentral lists this ribosomal RNA (460 nucleotides) under uncultured bacterium. RNAcentral describes it as "partial 16S ribosomal RNA". It matches the Rfam family "Bacterial small subunit ribosomal RNA", at positions 338 to 795 of the family's 1533-position model. The record is from RNAcentral.